UAUUGGACAAUGGGGGGAACCCUGAUCCAGCGACGCCGCGUGAGUGAAGAAGUAUCUCGGUAUGUAAAGCUCUAUCAGCAGGGAAGAAAGAAAUGACGGUACCUGAGUACGAAGCCCCGGCUAACUACGUGCCAGCAGCCGCGGUAAUACGUAGGGGGCAAGCGUUAUCCGGAUUUACUGGGUGUAAAGGGAGCGUAGGCGGUGAUGCAAGUCAGAAGUGAAAACCCGCAGCUCAACUGCGGGACUGCUUUUGAAACUGUAUGACUAGAUUGCAGGAGAGGUAAGUGGAAUUCCUAGUGUAGCGGUGAAAUGCGUAGAUAUUAGGAGGAACACCAGUGGCGAAGGCGGCUUACUGGACUGUAAAUGACGCUGAGGCUCGAAAGCGUGGGGAGCAAACAGG
Molecule: ribosomal RNA, 400 nt
Filed under: uncultured bacterium
Lineage: Bacteria
Description: bacterial SSU rRNA
Rfam family: Bacterial small subunit ribosomal RNA
Source: RNAcentral